This is a non-coding RNA of Oesophagostomum dentatum (nodular worm), 71 nucleotides long. NCBI's taxonomy places the organism in Eukaryota, Metazoa, Nematoda, Chromadorea, Rhabditida, Strongylidae. The record is from Rfam.
CAAUCGGUGGUUCAGUGGUGGAAUGCUCAAUUGCCACGCGGGCGGCCCGGGUUCGAUUCCUGGCUGAUACA